UAGGGAAUCUUCCGCAAUGGACGCAAGUCUGACGGAGCAACGCCGCGUGAGUGAAGAAGGAUUUAGGUUCGUAAAACUUUGUUGUUAGAGAAGAACAGCGCAUAGAGUAACUGUUAUGCGUGUGACGGUAUCUAACCAGAAAGCCACGGCUAACUACGUGCCAGCAGCCGCGGUAAUACGUAGGUGGCAAGCGUUGUCCGGAUUUAUUGGGCGUAAAGCGAGCGCAGGCGGUCAAUUAAGUCUGAUGUGAAAGCCCCCGGCUCAACCGGGGAGGGUCAUUUGGAGCUGGUUGACUUGAGUGCAGGAGGGGGGAGUGGAAUUCCAUGUGUAACGGUGAAAUGCGUAGGUAUAUGGAGGAACAACAGUGGCGAAGGCGACUCUCUGGUAUGUAACUGACGCUGGGGCUGGAAAGCGUGGGUAGCAAACAAG
RNAcentral lists this ribosomal RNA (429 nucleotides) under Bacteroidota bacterium. Its description in RNAcentral is "Bacteroidetes bacterium partial 16S ribosomal RNA". It matches the Rfam family "Bacterial small subunit ribosomal RNA", at positions 355 to 776 of the family's 1533-position model. The record is from RNAcentral. Lineage: Bacteria; Pseudomonadati; Bacteroidota.